UUUUAUUAGCACAAAAUAUUUAAAUAUAUAUUUUAAAAGUUAUUAAUCUUGUUAAAAACAGUUUGAUGAUUUUUAUUAAUCUUUUAAUUAAUUACUUAUAAAAUGUAGCACUAAAUAUGUUAUUUAUUUAGUAUCUGGUUUAAACGGUUCAAUAGCGAUUUAAGUUGUAAGUUGUUACCUGAUGAUGAUCCCGCACCUCUGAAUCUCUCG
This 210-nucleotide long non-coding RNA is filed under the name Lathyrus oleraceus (garden pea). RNAcentral describes it as "Pisum sativum (pea) long non-coding RNA (PSAT_LNC017041)". Lineage: Eukaryota; Viridiplantae; Streptophyta; Magnoliopsida; Fabales; Fabaceae. The record is from RNAcentral.